Molecule: ribosomal RNA, 253 nt
Filed under: uncultured bacterium
Lineage: Bacteria
Description: partial 16S ribosomal RNA
Rfam family: Bacterial small subunit ribosomal RNA
Source: RNAcentral
UACGGGGGGGGCAAGCGUUGUUCGGAAUUACUGGGCGUAAAGAGCGUGUAGGCGGCUAUUUAAGUCCUGCGUGAAAUCCUGCGGCUCAACCGCAGACGGUCGUGGGAAACUGGAUGGCUAGAGUGCGGGAGAGGAGAGUGGAAUUCCCGGUGUAGCGGUGAAAUGCGCAGAUAUCGGGAAGAACACCCGUGGCGAAGGCGGCUCUCUGGAACGCAACUGACGCUGAGACGCGAAAGCGUGGGGAGCAAACAGG